CCUACGGGAGGCUGCAGUGGGGAAUAUUGCACAAUGGGGGAAACCCUGAUGCAGCAACGCCGCGUGAAGGAAGACGGGUUUCGGAUCGUAAAGUUCUGUCCUCAGUGAAGAAUAAUGACGGUAGCUAAGGAGCAAGCCACGGCUAACUACGUGCCAGCAGCCGCGGUAAUACGUAGGUGGCAAGCGUUGUCCGGAAUUACUGGGUGUAAAGGGAGCGCAGACGGGAGGGCAAGCCAGCUGUGAAAACUACGGGCUUAACCUGUGGACUGCAGUUGGAACUGCUUUUCUGGAGUGAAGUAGGGGCUGGCGGAAUUCCGGGUGUAGCGGUGAAAUGCGUAGAUAUUCGGAGGAACACCGGUGGCGAAGGCGGCCAGCUGGACUUUGACUGACGCUGAGGCUCGAAAGUGUGGGGAGCAAACAGGAUUAGAUACCCUAGUAGUC
This 441-nucleotide ribosomal RNA is filed under the name uncultured bacterium. RNAcentral describes it as "partial 16S ribosomal RNA". It matches the Rfam family "Bacterial small subunit ribosomal RNA", at positions 338 to 795 of the family's 1533-position model. The record is from RNAcentral.